This is a long non-coding RNA of Mizuhopecten yessoensis (Yesso scallop), 131 nucleotides long. RefSeq lists it as uncharacterized. Lineage: Eukaryota; Metazoa; Mollusca; Bivalvia; Pectinida; Pectinidae. The transcript has 2 exons. The record is from RefSeq and is a predicted model, not a curated record.
AGAUUCGCCUGCAGUUAUAUAUACUGGAUUAUCAGGAUUAUGUGGGAACCCUUGUCGCAUUGAUAGAGGUGUAAGAUUCUUCCAGCUAGUCUGAUGUCCACAAAUGGAAUAAUUAAAAGAAUGGAAACCAA